RNAcentral lists this ribosomal RNA (1256 nucleotides) under Opistoplatys sp. HL-2013. RNAcentral describes it as "16S ribosomal RNA". The stretch from base 1014 to 1174 matches the Rfam family "Archaeal large subunit ribosomal RNA", at positions 2542 to 2701 of the family's 2987-position model. Lineage: Eukaryota; Metazoa; Arthropoda; Insecta; Hemiptera; Reduviidae. The record is from RNAcentral.
UAAUUAUAUAUUUAUUAUUUAUUUUGUUUAAAAGUGUUUUUAUAGAAAUAUUUUUGUUUAUAGUAAUUUUUAUUGAAAUAAUAAUUUUAAUUUUAUUGAUAGUACUGUGUAGGAAUAUAUUUAUAUUUAUUUUAAGUAAUUUUUGUUUAAUGUACCUUUUGUAUCAGGGUUAAUUAAUUUUUAUAAUCUAUUUUAUUAUCCCGAAAUUAGAUGAGUUAAAAUUUAAUGUAGUUUGAUGUUUUAUAUUCAUCUAUAAUUUUUUUUAGUAAUGAAAUGUUAUUCGUAUUUAAUUAUCUGGUUUUUUUAGAUUUAAAUUUAAUUUAUAUAUUAAUAGAUUUUAGAUUAAUUAAUUUUGAAUUUUUAUUAAUAUAAAUGUAAUAAGGGAUAAGCUUUAUUUUAAUUUUAUAAUUAUUUAAUUUUAUUUAUUUUAUGUGGGCUUGAGGGUAGUCAUCUGGAUAAUUGUGUUAUUACGUGUUUUAUUUUAAUUUUAUUUUAUUUAAUUUAAUUUUUUAUAGGAAUUUAUAAAUUAAUAAUUUUUUAUAGGAAUAAUGAUUGAAUUAGUAAAUUUAUUAAUUAUUUUAUAGGAACUCGGCAAUUUUAUUAUUCGCUUGUUUAACAAAAACAUGUCUUUUUGUGGAUUUUAUUUAAAGUUUGACCUGCUCAAUGAUGUUUAUUUAAUAGCCGCAGUAUUUUAACUGUGCUAAGGUAGCAUAAUCAAUUGUCUUUUAAUUGGGGGCUAGAAUGAAUGGUUUGACGAAGUAAUAUCUUUCUUUAAAUUAAUUAAUUUAAUUUAAUUUUUAAGUUAAAAAGCUUAAAUUAAAUUAAGGGACGAGAAGACCCUAUAGAUUUUUAUAUUUGUUUUAGUGUGAUUUUUUUAGAUUAUUAAUGAUUAUAUUAAAAUAAAUAUUUUGUUGGGGCGAUUUGGGAAUUUAAAUAACUUUCUAUUUUUUUUUCAUUUAUUUAUGUGUAUUUUUGAUCUUUUAUUAAUGAUUGAAAGAGUAAAUUACCUUAGGGAUAACAGCGUAAUUUUUUCGGAGAGUCCUUAUUGAUGAAUAAAGUUUGCGACCUCGAUGUUGGAUUAAAAUUAAUUUUUGGUGUAGGAGCUUUAAUUAUUAGGUCUGUUCGACCUUUAAUUUUUUACAUGAUCUGAGUUCAGACCGGCGUGAGCCAGGUCAGUUUCUAUCUUUAAUAAUUUAUUAUUUCUUAGUACGAAAGGACCAGGAAUAAAUAUUAUAUAUUAAUUGUUUAGAAUAAUU